GACGAACCUUUGAAUUAUUUCUCAAGGUUGACCUCGG
Molecule: ribosomal RNA, 37 nt
Filed under: Neofusicoccum ribis
Lineage: Eukaryota; Fungi; Ascomycota; Dothideomycetes; Botryosphaeriales; Botryosphaeriaceae
Description: 28S ribosomal RNA
Source: RNAcentral